AGAGUUUGAUCCUGGCUCAGGACGAACGCUGGCAGCGUGCUUAACACAUGCAAGUCGGACGAUGAACCACUUCGGUUGGGAUUAGUGGCGAACGGGUGAGUAACACGUGGGCAAUCUGCCCUGCACUCUGGGACAAGCCCUGGGAACGGGGUCUAAUACCGGAUACUGACCCCCGCAGGCAUCUGCCGGGUUCCAAAGCUCCGGCGGUGUAGGAUGAGCCCGCGGCCUAUCAGCUUGUUGGUGAGGUAACGGCUCACCAAGGCGACGACGGGUAGCCGGCCUGAGAGGGCGACCGGCCACACUGGGACUGAGACACGGCCCAGACUCCUACGGAAGGCAGCAGUUUGGAAUAUUGCACAAUGGGCGAAAGCCUGUUGCAGCGACGCCGCGUGAAGGAUGACGGCCUUCGGGUUGUAAACCUCUUUCAGCAGGGAAGAAGCUUAAGUGACGGUACCUGCAGAACAAGCGCCGGCUAACUACGUGCCAACAGCCGCGGUAAUACGUAAGGCGCGAGCGUUGUCCGGAAUUAUUGGGCGUAAAGAGCUCGUAGGCGGCUUGUCACGUCGGUUGUGAAAGCCCGGGGCUUAACCCCGGGUCUGCAGUCGAUACGGGCAGGCUAGAGUUCGGUAGGGGAGAUCGGAAUUCCUGGUGUAGCGGUGAAAUGCCCAGAUAUCAUGAGGAACAACGGUGGCGUUGGCGGAUCUCUGGGCCGAUACUGACGCUGAGGAGCGAAAGCGUGGGGAGCGAACAGGAUUAGAUACCCUGG
RNAcentral lists this ribosomal RNA (766 nucleotides) under uncultured bacterium. RNAcentral describes it as "bacterial SSU rRNA". It matches the Rfam family "Bacterial small subunit ribosomal RNA", at positions 8 to 790 of the family's 1533-position model. The record is from RNAcentral.